Lathyrus oleraceus (garden pea) is the source of this 1396-nucleotide long non-coding RNA. RefSeq lists it as uncharacterized. NCBI's taxonomy places the organism in Eukaryota, Viridiplantae, Streptophyta, Magnoliopsida, Fabales, Fabaceae. The record is from RefSeq and is a predicted model, not a curated record. The transcript is spliced from 2 exons.
CUCACACUCACUCUGCGUGGCAACAUAAAAAACAAAAAGAAAAGGAAAUCCUCACAAAAUCUCUGAGGAUCUCUCAACACGCGUCCACUCUCUAAAAUACCUCACUCUCAUCAUCACACACUGACCUCACGGCAUUCACUCAUCACUCUCUGAAAAACUUACCAGCGCUCACACCUAGACCCUCUUCUCUCUCAUCGUGAAAAAGGAAGAAAAGCUGUCUAGCUUUUCCGCUUACCACACGCACCCAUCUUCUUCUUUCAAAGAAAACACAGCACCACACAUACGCCUUCUUCAACCCUAAAUCCGCCGUCAAACCCUUCAUCGCUCACCUUCACCACCUUCGAAUCACCAUCGCCGUUCUCCGCCCCACCACUCAAACCCUCGUCACCAUGCAAAUCGACCACCGCCACUAAACCACCCUUCGCCGUCAAACCCACAUCUUCAUUCACCACCGAAAAACCCCACCGUGAAUUGCGAUUCACCUCACCGUUCAUCUUCAUCAUCCUUCAACCUCCGACGAAACCCAUCACCAACCUCUUCACCUCCACCCAAAUCCACCGUCAAAACUCAACCUUCCACCGCUAGCUACACAACCCACCAUAAACCGUUCCGCAGGAAACGCCGAAACCCUCCACUUGUUCUUGCUCGUGGUCACAGGAUCGAGGCAGUUCCUGAAUUUCCUCUUGUUGUUGGUGAUUCCGUCGAGGGAGCUGAGAAAGCAGAGGAAGCAAUCCAGGGAUGCGGAAGCAUGUUGCGGUUUUAGAGAUCGGUUUGUAGCGGCGGUGGAUCUUUACGAAGCAGCUAUUGAAAUAAUCGUUAUCCUGGUGGAUAUUCAACACGACAUCGAAACCGGUUUCGCCAACGCGUUGUAGGUAUUCAUUGUACGGUUUCGAUUCCAAGUUAGCCAUAUCAUAGCUGUGGAUUUCGAUCGGGUUUUUAACAGGAAAUUGUCAUUCAUCUUCAUUUUUUGGGUAGCAUCAUAUGUAGGUUUGGAUAGCACAUCUAGUCCGAUUCUGUUUCCAAAAACUCAUCAGAUAGUUAUUUGUUUAUGAGUGAAUUGUUUAAGGAGAUGUCCUGGUUUUGAUUUUGCUGUCAACUGAUUUUGUCUUUGGAGAAUUGGGUUUGUUUUCUUUCUCCUGAUAUCGGACAUUUUUCUUUUAGUUAGAUCCAUUUAAUCACGUCGCACCCCCCACUUGUUGCAAUAUAUUGUUUGUGAUCAUUAAGAUGGUUUUAUAUUGGAUAUGGCAUUUAUGUGGCUUUGGUACUGUACAUACUGAUACUGGACUCAUUUGACACUUUUAUGUAACAUGUAAUAUUCUAAAUGUUGGCUCACCUAUAUAGCCAUUGUUGGGAUUUACCUUGUUAUAUUUUGUAUAUAUACUCAAUGUUAUUUUUA